Scylla paramamosain (green mud crab) is the source of this 590-nucleotide long non-coding RNA. RefSeq lists it as uncharacterized. Lineage: Eukaryota; Metazoa; Arthropoda; Malacostraca; Decapoda; Portunidae. The transcript has 3 exons. The record is from RefSeq and is a predicted model, not a curated record.
CGCAGGAAAACCUGCGUGUGGGGUUCCACUGGAAGAGUUCCUUUCUUUCCAUGUGUUUGCAGGAUCGCAUGGUGCCUAGAACUGUGCGGAAAGAAACUAUGAAAUAUAAUGGAAGAAGAGGAAGAUUUCAUGAGCUGUAAAGGACUUCCAUUCCACAGUCACCUCUGUACAAGAAGCUUCAGGAGUAGCUUGCAAGCACUUCCAUUCUCACAGCUGAGUUGCUCAUUGCCUUGCCUUCUUCCAACCAUCCUGUGGAAGUUCCAAGAAUAUUGGAAGUGACUGGAACGCUGGUCUAUCAGGAACUGAAAAGAGGUAGGUAUUGUUCUUGCUUAUCCAAUUUCCUUUCUUAAAUCAUGUCCUGUGGCAGGAAUAGAUGAGAGCGGUGGCAGCAGCAGCUGAGGCUAACAGACUUAAUAGAUUUUCCACCCAUUCAUUCCUUCCUUCAUGCAUGUGAUUUUAAGACAUUGUGGAGUUCAGUACUGCACAGUUUUCAUUAUAUAACAAAAUAAAUAAGCAGAAGGAGAAGGAGAAGGUAUAUCGUUAUGUUUUUUUUGUGAGGACUUAGGUGAUAAUACAGGAGCUAAAGGGUG